Molecule: ribosomal RNA, 468 nt
Filed under: uncultured bacterium
Lineage: Bacteria
Description: partial 16S ribosomal RNA
Rfam family: Bacterial small subunit ribosomal RNA
Source: RNAcentral
GACGAACGCUGGCGGCGUGCUUAACACAUGCAAGUCGAACGGAAAGGCCCUGCUUUUGUGGGGUGCUCGAGUGGCGAACGGGUGAGUAACACGUGAGUAACCUGCCCUUGACUUUGGGAUAACUUCAGGAAACUGGGGCUAAUACCAGAUCGGAGCUCCCGCUGCAUGGUGGGGGGUGGAAAUUUUCGGCGGUUGGGGAUAGACUCGCGGCUUAUCAGCUUGUUGGUUGGGUAGUGGCUUACCAAGGCUUUGACGGGUAGCCGGCCUGAGAGGGUGACCGGCCACAUUGGGACUGAGAUACGGCCCAGACUCCUACGGGAGGCAGCAGUGGGGAAUAUUGCACAAUGGGCGGAAGCCUGAUGCAGCAACGCCGCGUGCGGGAUGACGGCCUUCGGGUUGUAAACCGCAUUCGCCUGUGACGAAGCGUGAGUGACGGUAAUGGGUAAAGAAGCACCGGCUAACUACGUG